GCGGUAAUGCUGAGUAGGGAGAAGAAACACAUCUCUGACAGGAUGCUGUUUAUGCUGAAACAGAGGGACAACCGUGAGGGUGGGGAGAGGAGGAAAGAAGAGCUCAGGCGUUCAUGAAUGGAGAGGAAAUUGGUGUGGCUGGAACACGGAGAGAGGGAGAAGGAAAAGCCUGGAGAGGGAGGGGAGGCUAGGUCAUGCUGCGUCUUCUUGGCAUGGUGGGGGGGGCGGGUCAACAACUAGUCUGAGGAAAGCCAUGGAAGAGGGGUAAGCAACGGAGAAACAUGCUUCAAUUUCUAUUUUAGUUAGCUCCUCCAGGUGCUUAUAAAAGAGAUUAUUGGGAGGCAAGAGUGGAACAACAUGGAUUCUAGGCUCCUGGCUCACAGCCCAAUUUAUCAGUUACUCCAAGCAACCAGAUGAGAAGCAAUCUCAGCAGGCUGGCUCUUGGCCCGAAGACUCUGCUCUUACCUGGAAGUCUGUGCCGGGGGGGGACAGGGCCAAGUGGGAAUGCAGCUGGUCAGGUCCCGGCAAGAAGUCACCAGCCUGGCCUUCCCAUACUUCCGAAGCGUCCUCCAGCGGCUUGUGCCUCAAGGACUGUUCUGGAAGGAUGACAUCCCUCAAAAUGUGAAGACCCAGAAGAUGGAGUACAUGCCCCGGCUCCAUGCCUCAGAGACCUGCCUGAGAGAGGGGUAGACAGCCUUUUCCACCAAAACCACCACGCCAAGGGGCAAGUGCAAAGAGAAAUUCUGACUUGUUCCCUAAGAGCCCAGUGAUCAAGGUGAACAAGGAACAAUGCUUGGACUAGGAAACGGUUUCAGAGUUCCAGAACCAAGAGAUGAGCACUGCAGGUGAGGGCCUGGCCUUGUCUAGGAAGGCCGAGUCUACCAAGGGCCUGUUUAUAGAGGGAGGCAGGGUAAAGGAGGGAAUAGACGUUGGUUGAUAAGGGAUGACAAGACUUCACUGAGGCUGAUGGAGAACCUUCUGGAAGAGAGGGCCUGGAGGAUGGAAAAGAACAGAGCUUUCUGUACAGAGCCAGCCUAAUCCUGGUUCUGGAGCUUCCCAGCUAUGACCUUGGACACCUUCCCUAGGCUCUUCAUGUCCCUUCUCCACAUCUGUAAAAUGGGAAUGGUAAUAAAGGCCACCCCUUGG
Neogale vison (American mink) is the source of this 1146-nucleotide RNA transcript. It is a transcript of the gene named regulated endocrine specific protein 18, with no coding region annotated. The transcript has 6 exons. The record is from RefSeq and is a predicted model, not a curated record. Lineage: Eukaryota; Metazoa; Chordata; Mammalia; Carnivora; Mustelidae.